ACCUAAGAUAGCUCGGUCACGAGAGCAUGAUACUUUUAAUGUCAGGGCCGUGGGUCUGAGCCCCACAUUGGGCA
Non-coding RNA from Podarcis lilfordi (Lilford's wall lizard), 74 nucleotides. NCBI's taxonomy places the organism in Eukaryota, Metazoa, Chordata, Lepidosauria, Squamata, Lacertidae. The record is from the annotation of a GenBank genome assembly.